RNAcentral lists this ribosomal RNA (493 nucleotides) under uncultured bacterium. RNAcentral's name for it is "partial 16S ribosomal RNA". It matches the Rfam family "Bacterial small subunit ribosomal RNA", at positions 30 to 508 of the family's 1533-position model. The record is from RNAcentral.
AGUGAACGCUGGCGGUAGGCCUAACACAUGCAAGUCGAACGGCAGCACAGUAAGAGCUUGCUCUUACGGGUGGCGAGUGGCGGACGGGUGAGGAAUACAUCGGAAUCUACUUUUUCGUGGGGGAUAACGUAGGGAAACUUACGCUAAUACCGCAUACGACCUACGGGUGAAAGCAGGGGAUCUUCGGACCUUGCGCGAUUGAAUGAGCCGAUGUCGGAUUAGCUAGUUGGCGGGGUAAAGGCCCACCAAGGCGACGAUCCGUAGCUGGUCUGAGAGGAUGGACAGACAAAAGGGAAAUGAGACACGGGCCAGGCGACUACGGGAGGGAGCAGGGGGGAAUAUUGGAGAAUGGGGGAAAGCCUGAUCCAGCCAUACCGCGUGGGGGAAGAAGGGCUUCGGGUUGGAAAGCCCUUGUGGUGGGAAAGAAAAGCAGCAGGUUAAUACCCCGCUGUUCUGACGGUACCCAAAGAAUAAGCACCGGAUAACUUCGUGC